AGGUAGAGAAUACCAAGGCGCUUGAGAGAACUCGGGUGAAGGAACUAGGCAAAAUGGUGCCGUAACUUCGGGAGAAGGCACGCUGAUAUGUAGGUGAAGCGACUUGCUCGUGGAGCUGAAAUCAGUCGAAGAUACCAGCUGGCUGCAACUGUUUAUUAAAAACACAGCACUGUGCAAACACGAAAGUGGACGUAUACGGUGUGACGCCUGCCCGGUGCCGGAAGGUUAAUUGAUGGGGUCAGCCGCAAGGCGAAGCUCUUGAUCGAAGCCCCGGUAAACGGCGGCCGUAACUAUAACGGUCCUAAGGUAGCGAAAUUCCUUGUCGGGUAAGUUCCGACCUGCACGAAUGGCGUAAUGAUGGCCAGGCUGUCUCCACCCGAGACUCAGUGAAAUUGAACUCGCUGUGAAGAUGCAGUGUACCCGCGGCAAGACGGAAAGACCCCGUGAACCUUUACUAUAGCUUGACACUGAACAUUGAGCCUUGAUGUGUAGGAUAGGUGGGAGGCUUUGAAGCGUGGACGCCAGUCUGCGUGGAGCCGACCUUGAAAUACCACCCUUUAAUGUUUGAUGUUCUAACGUGGACCCGUGAUCCGGGUUGCGGACAGUGUCUGGUGGGUAGUUUGACUGGGGCGGUCUCCUCCUAAAGAGUAACGGAGGAGCACGAAGGUUGGCUAAUCCUGGUCGGACAUCAGGAGGUUAGUGCAAUGGCAUAAGCCAGCUUGACUGCGAGCGUGACGGCGCGAGCAGGUGCGAAAGCAGGUCAUAGUGAUCCGGUGGUUCUGAAUGGAAGGGCCAUCGCUCAACGGAUAAAAGGUACUCCGGGGAUAACAGGCUGAUACCGCCCAAGAGUUCAUAUCGACGGCGGUGUUUGGCACCUCGAUGUCGGCUCAUCACAUCCUGGGGCUGAAGUAGGUCCCAAGGGUAUGGCUGUUCGCCAUUUAAAGUGGUACGCGAGCUGGGUUUAGAACGUCGUGAGACAGUUCGGUCCCUAUCUGCCGUGGGCGCUGGAGAACUGAGGGGGGCUGCUCCUAGUACGAGAGGACCGGAGUGGACGCAUCACUGGUGUUCGGGUUGUCAUGCCAAUGGCACUGCCCGGUAGCUAAAUGCGGAAGAGAUAAGUGCUGAAAGCAUCUAAGCACGAAACUUGCCCCGAGAUGAGUUCUCCCUGACUCCUUGAGAGUCCUGAAGGAACGUUGAAGACGACGACGUUGAUAGGCCGGGUGUGUAAGCGCAGCGAUGCGUUGAGCUAACCGGUACUAAUGAACCGUGAGGCUUAACCUU
This 1281-nucleotide ribosomal RNA is filed under the name Escherichia coli. RNAcentral's name for it is "partial 23S ribosomal RNA". It matches the Rfam family "Bacterial large subunit ribosomal RNA", at positions 1669 to 2925 of the family's 2925-position model. Lineage: Bacteria; Pseudomonadati; Pseudomonadota; Gammaproteobacteria; Enterobacterales; Enterobacteriaceae. The record is from RNAcentral.